RNAcentral lists this RNase P RNA (336 nucleotides) under Hyphomicrobiales bacterium. Its description in RNAcentral is "RNase P RNA component class A". It matches the Rfam family "Bacterial RNase P class A". From Rfam's summary of the family: Ribonuclease P (RNase P) is a ubiquitous endoribonuclease, found in archaea, bacteria and eukarya as well as chloroplasts and mitochondria. Its best characterised activity is the generation of mature 5'-ends of tRNAs by cleaving the 5'-leader elements of precursor-tRNAs. Lineage: Bacteria; Pseudomonadati; Pseudomonadota; Alphaproteobacteria; Hyphomicrobiales. RNAcentral also lists the same sequence under 2 other names. The record is from RNAcentral.
CAAGGUGAACGAGUAGCCGCUUUUUAAAAGAGGAAAGUCUGAGCACCAUCGGACGUGAAUGCCGGAUAACUACCGGGCAAGGUGACUUGACGGAAAGUGCAACAGAAAAUAGACCGCCUAUUGGUAAGGGUGAAAAGGUGAGGUAAGAGCUUACCGCAUUUAAGGAAACUUUAAUGGCAUGGCAAACCCCAUUCGGUGCAAGGUCAAAUAGAGAAGCUUAAGCGAGUCCGACUAGCUUCUGGGUAGACCGCUUGAUUUACUCGGCGACGAGUGAACUAGAUAAAUGGCUACUGCCUUAUAAAGGUACAGAACUCAGCUUAUAGUUUGCCUUGAUCA